RNAcentral lists this ribosomal RNA (325 nucleotides) under uncultured bacterium. RNAcentral describes it as "bacterial SSU rRNA". It matches the Rfam family "Bacterial small subunit ribosomal RNA", at positions 28 to 334 of the family's 1533-position model. The record is from RNAcentral.
GAUGAACGCUGGCGGCGUGCUUAACACAUGCAAGUCGAACGGAGUGCCUUUGAAAGAGGAUUCGUCCAAUUGAUAAGGUUACUUAGUGGCGGACGGGUGAGUAACGCGUGAGGAACCUGCCUCGGAGUGGGGAAUAACAGUCAGAAAUGACUGCUAAUACCGCAUAAGCGCACGGGACCGCAUGGUUUUGUGUGGAAAACUCCGGUGGUGUGAGAUGGACCCGCGUUGGAUUAGCCAGUUGGCAGGGUAACGGCCUACCAAAGCGACGAUCCAUAGCCGGCCUGAGAGGGUGAACGGCCACAUUGGGACUGGAGACACGGCCCAG